Molecule: non-coding RNA, 234 nt
Filed under: Enterococcus sp.
Lineage: Bacteria; Bacillati; Bacillota; Bacilli; Lactobacillales; Enterococcaceae
Description: T-box sequence
Rfam family: T-box leader
About the family: Uncharged tRNA acts as the effector for transcription antitermination of genes in the T-box leader family. T-boxes are found upstream of many aminoacyl-tRNA synthetase genes and some amino acid biosynthetic genes usually in Gram-positive bacteria.
Source: RNAcentral
AAACAGACAUCGAAAAGAAGAGUAGCAAGGUUUCUUCGUUUUAAGAGAGUCUCUGGCUGGUGAGAAGAGACAACAAGGACUUGUGAACCACAUCUUGGAGUCGUUUUUCUGAAUCGAGUAGGAAAGACCGGGAGUGCCCGUUAUAGCAGCAGUCAUUGUUUGAUGACUUUCUGAGAUCAGUUGCUGUGAAGCACUGAUAAACAAAGGUGGAACCGCGUUGAUAACGUCCUUUAG